AUAAAAAAGUCGCUAAAAAUGGACAAAACGUAAAGGCUAUAACAGCCUUUACUUUUUGUCCAUUUUUAGCGACUUUUUUCAUU
Paramuricea clavata is the source of this 83-nucleotide non-coding RNA. The record is from the annotation of a GenBank genome assembly. NCBI's taxonomy places the organism in Eukaryota, Metazoa, Cnidaria, Anthozoa, Malacalcyonacea, Plexauridae.